GACGAACGCUGGCGGCGUGCUUAACACAUGCAAGUCGAGCGGUAAGGCCCUUUCGGGGGUACACGAGCGGCGAACGGGUGAGUAACACGUGGGUGACCUGCCCUCAGCUCUGGGAUAAGCCUGGGAAACUGGGUCUAAUACCGGAUAUGACCUUUCCUCGCAUGGGGUUUGGUGGAAAGUCCUGGGCUUGAUUGUCUGGGUUCGGCUGGGGAUGGGCCCGCGGCCUAUCAGCUUGUUGGUGGGGUGAUGGCCUACCAAGGCGACGACGGGUAGCCGGCCUGAGAGGGCGACCGGCCACACUGGGACUGAGACACGGCCCAGACUCCUACGGGAGGCAGCAGUGGGGAAUAUUGCGCAAUGGGCGGAAGCCUGACGCAGCGACGCCGCGUGGGGA
RNAcentral lists this ribosomal RNA (394 nucleotides) under uncultured bacterium. RNAcentral describes it as "bacterial SSU rRNA". It matches the Rfam family "Bacterial small subunit ribosomal RNA", at positions 28 to 407 of the family's 1533-position model. The record is from RNAcentral.